UACGUAGGGGGCAAGCGUUGUCCGGAUUUACUGGGCGUAAAGAGCGCGCAGGCGGUCGGAUAAGUCGAAUGUGAAAGCCCCCGGCUCAACUGGGGAGGGUCAUUCGAUACUGUUCGACUCGAAGGCAGGAGAGGGAAGUGGAAUUCCCGGUGUAGUGGUGAAAUGCGUAGAUAUCGGGAGGAACACCAGUGGCGAAGGCGACUUCCUGGCCUGUUCUUGACGCUGAGGCGCGAAAGCGUGGGUAGCAAACAGG
This 253-nucleotide ribosomal RNA is filed under the name uncultured bacterium. RNAcentral's name for it is "partial 16S ribosomal RNA". It matches the Rfam family "Bacterial small subunit ribosomal RNA", at positions 524 to 776 of the family's 1533-position model. The record is from RNAcentral.